UGUCAAAUUAUAGUCAAAACAGCAUUUUUAUUUUUGGUCAAGGAAAGGGAUAGUUGACUAAAGUCAAUGAUCGAAACUCACCAUUCUCGAUCUAUCGGUCUUCCUCUCCACUCCCCUUUUCUCCAGUCUUCUCUUCCUCUUCUUCACUCCCCUUUUCUGCGUCCCCCCACGCCCAAGUCAUCUCUGUUGUCACAUUUACCUUUGAUUUCACAUCAUGCCUUUCUCUAUUUCGGAUAGCCAAAGGUUGAUUCUUCUUCUGGAAGUUGCUGAGAUGAAAGGCAUCGAGAAACUCCUCCCAGCGAGCACUUGCUCGUGUAGCCUUGCUAGGAGUUGGUCAGAUCUCAUCUAACCUACUCCAUCAAACUCUGCUGCGGUGUCUGUGAUUCUCGUCUCAAGUCUUUCUCCUUCACCCCAUCCGAGGGAGACUUGGACAUUUAGUGCCCCUAUUGUGAUGAAGGGGAGCGUCCAAAUGUGGGAAAGCUCCGAAUUUUAAGGAGAGGAGAGGAAGCGGUGAAGCCAGGCGAGCUGAAGAAAGCUCUCCUCGAAGUGGAGCUCACCGUCUUAGGACGAGAAUCACAAACAUCGCAGCAGAGGUUGAUGGAGCAGGUCAGAUGAGGAUCUGACCAACUCUUUGAAAGGCUGCAUGAGCAGGUGCUCUUUGGAAGGAGUUUUUGGAUGACUUUCAUGUCAGAAAACUCAAGAAGGAGGAUCAAUCUUUGGCGAUCAGAAACAGAGAGGCAUGAUGUGAAAUCAAAGGUAAAUGUGAAAACAAAGAUGAAAUUCUGAAAUUAAUGGAAGGACAGGUGAAGAGGUGAAUAUGAAAACAGAGGUGAAAGCUGAAAUGGAGAGAUGUGGAACAAAGAGAAGUGAAGUCGUGCUUUAAUACUGCAAUGUGAGAGAGAGAGAGAGAGAGAGAGAGAGAGAGAGAAGGUUUGCUAUUUCCAUCACUUUCAUGUCAGAUUCUAGCUACAUAAAUGAAGCAUUGUGGUUUUUGGGUUUUGCUUUGAGUGAGCUGUGUUUAUGUUGCAGUUGUGCUGUGUUUUUUGGGUUAACAAGAAUUGCAUGACAAAUUUGUCACGCUAAAAGAUUUGAGAGACAACUGCAAGAUGGAACUGGAAACAGCAGUUGGAGUGCCCUCAAAGAGACUCUAGUGCAUUUCUGAUGAUUGUGCUAUUGUAAGAUUGUUGUUAGCUUCUGCCUACACGGGGUGCAUGUGCGCACGGUGUAUUCUUGUAUGGUUGUUUUAAAAAGUACUAUGUUCUUCACCAGUUUUCUUAAUAAGCUGUACUCUCUAAGAAAAUUUGUGUAAUAUCACUCUGACCAUGUUGUUGUAUGGACAUAAUCUCCCUUCUACCUUUAGCUUUUGGAUUGAUUUUAUAACUGUGGUUGUGAAUUUUGGUUAUGUAACAGGAUUUCAAUUUUAUCGAUUGUUGCUUUUUCUUUAUUAUGUUUAUUUUGAAUUUAGUCUGUUGUUUGAAGUCCCACUUCAUAUUGCCAGCCACAUAACGUGGUUGAAGAAAAUUACCAUCUUGUGACAUUAGAUUUGUGGUAUCCUGGCUCUUGUAAUGCUUUUCCUAUUGUAUGCGUCAUAGCUAGUAUCACUGUCACUCCUUAUCCUCAGCUUAGCUAAGUCUAUAAGAUAUUUAUAUCAGGGACUGCGAUCUUUUCACUAUCUGUUAAAUAUUGACUUUUUGCUUUUGGGGGCUUAUUGUGAUUUGAGAGACAGUAAUGUGCAUCUGAUGCUUGCCUUAUUGUAAGAUUGUUGUCGUUUCAGAUUGUGCCUACUUGUGCAUGUGUGCAAAUGCACAAGUGUAUUCUUGUGUUGUUCUGAGGAUUAUAUAGUGUUCUCACCAUUUGUAUUCUUGUGUGCUUAUCAGCGAAUUUGUGUACUAUCACUUCGAUCACCUGUUGCAGGGACAUACAUAAUCUCCCUGCUGUGAAGGAUUACUUUGCCUUCAGUCUACUGUCAUUUUUGUUCCUGUGGAUUUCUGGUGGCAGCACCUUUGGAUCUUUGUAGUUUUUCUUGAUGAUUAAAUCUUCGCAAGUUGUUCCAGACAGCUCUUCAGCAUGUUUUCCCAUAAUGACAGCGGUGCUUUCAUCAAAUUCAUAUUGUAUAAUUACGGUUACUCUGAAGCUGCGUGAAUAAAGGAAUAGAAGUGUGGAAAAUAGUGAUGGUGAAGUUCAAUGUUCAUACAUCGUAAUGGACAUGAGAAGAUGUAUCUGUCUUUGCACAUAAAUUUCAUAAGUCAAGAAUAUAAGGGCCUAUGGUAUUAGAAGGGGUAUAUUGUACUAUUUAGUGAAACAUUGUUGAAGCAAAUUUGUAAUACAAAAUAUAUAAAGACAUAUUGGCACAGAAUACCUAAUGUGAAAGAAUUUAUAAGAAUCUCUCCCUCUCUCUCUCUCUCUCUCUCUCUCUCUGUGUAAAGGGGCUGUUACAUUUCAUCAUCAGGGCAUAUUAACAGCUAACUCUGUGGUUGUUGCCUCAUCUGCUUU
This is a long non-coding RNA of Rosa rugosa (rugosa rose), 2493 nucleotides long. RefSeq lists it as uncharacterized. NCBI's taxonomy places the organism in Eukaryota, Viridiplantae, Streptophyta, Magnoliopsida, Rosales, Rosaceae. The transcript is spliced from 3 exons. The record is from RefSeq and is a predicted model, not a curated record.